CUUGAUUUUCCAUAAUUCGAUGGGGAUAACCCUCAAUUCUGGAAAACUAAGUGCGAGAAGUAUUUUGAUGUCUAUGGAGUCAGUAGAGAUGUGUGGGUGCGGGUAGCGACUUUGCACUUUACGGGUAACGCUGCCCGAUGGCUGCAAUUGUACGAGUCGGGGAUGAAAACUAUAGAGUGGGAAGAGUUGUGUGCUGCACUCUGUAGUAAAUUCGGACGCGACCAAUAUCAGGCGCAACUCCGUCAAUUUGCUCAGUUAGUGCAGACGAGUUCGGUGUCGGAUUAUAUGACACAGUUCGAGGAGUUAAUGCAUAAUCUGUUAGCUCACAAUCCCGGGUUUGAUCCACUCUAUUUCACCACCAAAUUCAUAGAUGGGUUGCGUUCAGAUAUUCGAUCUGGUGUGGUUUUGCACCGUCCAAAGGACCUCGAUGCUGCCUAUUCCUUGUCUCUGUUACAGGAGGAGCUGUUGGAAGGAUAG
This 477-nucleotide ribosomal RNA is filed under the name Triticum aestivum (bread wheat). RNAcentral describes it as "partial small subunit ribosomal RNA". Lineage: Eukaryota; Viridiplantae; Streptophyta; Magnoliopsida; Poales; Poaceae. The record is from RNAcentral.